ACUCAAAUGAAUUGACGGGGGCCCGCACAAGCGGUGGAGCAUGUGGUUUAAUUCGAUGCAACGCGAAGAACCUUACCUACUCUUGACAUCCAGAGAACUUUCCAGAGAUGGAUUGGUGCCUUCGGGAACUCUGAGACAGGUGCUGCAUGGCUGUCGUCAGCUCGUGUUGUGAAAUGUUGGGUUAAGUCCCGCAACGAGCGCAACCCUUAUCCUUGUUUGCCAGCGAGUAAUGUCGGGAACUCCAGGGAGACUGCCGGUGAUAAACCGGAGGAAGGUGGGGACGACGUCAAGUCAUCAUGGCCCUUACGAGUAGGGCUACACACGUGCUACAAUGGCGCAUACAGAGGGCAGCCAACUUGCGAAAGUGAGCGAAUCCCAAAAAGUGCGUCGUAGUCCGGAUUGGAGUCUGCAACUCGACUCCAUGAAGUCGGAAUCGCUAGUAAUCGUGGAUCAGAAUGCCACGGUGAAUACGUUCCCGGGCCUUGUACACACCGCCCGUCACACCAUGGGAGUGGGCUGCAAAAGAAGUAGGUAGUUUAACCUUCGGGGGGACGCUUACCACUUUGUGGUUCAUGACUGGGGUGAAGUCGUAACAAGGUAGCGCUAGGGGAACCUGGCGCUGGAUCACCUCCUUA
RNAcentral lists this ribosomal RNA (635 nucleotides) under Vibrio parahaemolyticus. Its description in RNAcentral is "bacterial SSU rRNA". It matches the Rfam family "Bacterial small subunit ribosomal RNA", at positions 899 to 1533 of the family's 1533-position model. The record is from RNAcentral. Lineage: Bacteria; Pseudomonadati; Pseudomonadota; Gammaproteobacteria; Vibrionales; Vibrionaceae.